Lolium perenne is the source of this 173-nucleotide non-coding RNA. Lineage: Eukaryota; Viridiplantae; Streptophyta; Magnoliopsida; Poales; Poaceae. The record is from RefSeq and is a predicted model, not a curated record.
AUGCCUGGAUAAUUAAUUAUCCAAUUCGAGACACCACUGUAUUUAUUAAGCAAGGAUUUGACCAGUAGCAUUUGUGCAUUUGAUUGAGUCAUCACCAUAAACAGCCACUACUAAUUAACAUGUCACCAGGAUUUACAUAGGGGUCCAGGAAAUCAUCCCAGGCCAACCAAGUA